Molecule: ribosomal RNA, 1375 nt
Filed under: metagenome
Description: bacterial SSU rRNA
Rfam family: Bacterial small subunit ribosomal RNA
Source: RNAcentral
GGCGGCGUGCCUAACACAUGCAAGUCGAACGAGAACGUUCUGCUUCGGCAGAAUUAGUAAAGUGGCGCACGGGUGAGUAACACGUGAGUAACCUGCCCUUAAAUCGGGGAUAACUUCGCGAAAGCGAUGCUAAUACCGGAUAUUGUUCAAGAAACUGUGGUUUUUUGAAUAAAAGGUGACCUCUUCUUGAAAGUUGCCGUUUAUCGAGGGGCUCGCGUACCAUUAGCUUGUUGGUAGGGUAAUGGCCUACCAAGGCUACGAUGGUUAGCUGGUCUGAGAGGAUGAUCAGCCACACUGGAACUGAAACACGGUCCAGACUCCUACGGGAGGCAGCAGUGAGGGAUUUUGCGCAAUGGGGGAAACCCUGACGCAGCAACGCCGCGUGAGUGAAGAAGGCUUUCGGGUCGUAAAGCUCUGUCGAGUGGGAAAAAAAUUCUAUGGUAAAUAGCCAUAGAGCUUGAUGGUACCAUUAGAGGAAGCACCGGCUAACUCCGUGCCAGCAGCCGCGGUAAUACGGAGGGUGCUAGCGUUGUUCGGAAUUAUUGGGCGUAAGAGCGUGUAGGCGGUUUGGUAAGUCAGAUGUGAAAGCCCGGGGCUCAACCCCGGAAGUGCAUUUGAAACUGCCUGACUUGAGUAUGGGAGAGGAGAGUGGAAUUCCCAGUGUAGAGGUGAAAUUCGUAGAUAUUGGGAGGAACACCCGUGGCGAAGGCGACUCUCUGGACCAAUACUGACGCUGAGACGCGAAAGCGUGGGGAGCAAACAGGAUUAGAUACCCUGGUAGUCCACGCCGUAAACGAUGAGAACUAGGUGUAGCGGGUAUUGACCCCUGCUGUGCCGAAGCUAACGCAUUAAGUUCUCCGCCUGGGGAGUACGGCCGCAAGGCUAAAACUCAAAGGAAUUGACGGGGACCCGCACAAGCGGUGGAGCAUGUGGUUUAAUUCGACGCAACGCGAAGAACCUUACCUGGAUUUGACAUCCUUUGACCACCCUGGAAACAGGGUUUAUCCGACUUGUCGGAACAGAGUGACAGGUGCUGCAUGGCUGUCGUCAGCUCGUGUCGUGAGAUGUUGGGUUAAGUCCCGCAACGAGCGCAACCCCUGUCUUUAGUUGCCAGUAUUUAGUUAGGCACUCUAAAGAUACUGCCUCGGUUAACGGGGAGGAAGGUGGGGAUGACGUCAAGUCCUCAUGGCCUUUAUAUCCAGGGCUACACACGUGCUACAAUGGGCUGUACAAAGGGUUGCUAUUUCGCGAGAAAACGCUAAUCCCAAAAAGCAGUCCUCAGUUCGGAUUGGAGUCUGCAACUCGACUCCAUGAAGUUGGAAUCGCUAGUAAUCGUGGAUCAGCAUGCCACGGUGAAUACGAUCCCGGGUCUUGU